UCUGCGUCCGGGUCAGGGCUACUGCCGUCGCUGCUGCCGUCCCUACUGUAGCUGCAGCCGGGAGACUGGACCCUAGUAUCCGCCGCCCACCGAACAGAGCGGGCUCCGCUCGGCAGCACCUUGUACGACCUGGCCGUCAGCCCCACGUCGCCGGCCUGGAGGGACGAAGAGCACGAGGGAGCCGAGGCUUCCUCCGGGGACAUUGGAUCCCUGGAUCAUCGGGAAUUUGUAGUUGACAUUGAGGCUAGACUGAGGAUGGAAGGUGUGGAACUUAAGGAAGAAUGGCAAGAUGAAGAUUUUCCAAUACCAUUACCAGAAGAUGAUAGUAUUGAAGCAGAUAUACUACCUGUAUCUGGACCUGAAAGCCAGCCUGGCUCACUAGAAGUUAAUGGAAAUAAAGUAAGAAAGAAAUUAGUGGCUCCAGACAUUAGCUUGACACUGGAUCCUAGUGAUGGCUCUGUGUUGUCAGAUGAUUUGGAUGAAAGUGGGGAGAUUGACUUAGAUGGCUUAGACACACCAUCAGAGAACAGCAAUGAGUUUGACUGGGAAGAUGAUCUUCCAAAACCCAAAACUACUGAAGUAAUCAGGAAAGGGUCAAUUACUGAAUACACAGCUGCAGAGGAAAAAGAAGAUGGACGACGCUGGCGUAUGUUCAGAAUUGGAGAACAGGAUCACAGGGUUGAUAUGAAGGCAAUUGAACCCUAUAAAAAAGUUAUCAGCCAUGGAGGAUAUUAUGGGGAUGGAUUAAAUGCCAUUGUUGUGUUUGCUGUCUGCUUUAUGCCUGAAAGUGGUCAACCUAACUAUAGAUACCUGAUGGACAAUCUCUUUAAAUAUGUUAUUGGCACUUUGGAGCUGUUAGUAGCAGAAAACUACAUGAUAGUUUAUUUAAAUGGUGCGACAACUCGAAGAAAAAUGCCCAGUCUGGGAUGGCUUAGGAAAUGCUAUCAGCAAAUUGAUAGAAGGUUACGGAAAAACUUAAAAUCGCUACUCAUUGUACAUCCCUCUUGGUUUAUAAGAACACUUCUGGCUGUUACAAGACCCUUUAUUAGCUCAAAAUUCAGCCAAAAAAUUAGAUACGUCUUUAAUUUGGCAGAACUAGCGGAACUUGUCCCCAUGGAAUAUGUUGGCAUACCAGAAUGCAUAAAACAGUAUGAAGAAGAAAAGUUUAAAAAGAAACAAAAAAGAGUUGAUCAAGAGCUUAAUGGAAAACAAGAUGAACCAAAAAGUGAACAGUAAGUUUGGCAUCUAGUCCAAACAAGACUGAAGAAUGUGCUGAUGAAGCAGUGCUCUUUUUUGCAUUUAUAAUGCAUUUAUUCACCUUUAUUUUUAGUCAUGAACUUCGCUAACUUAAAAACAGUCACAGGAGAUACUGGGGGAUUGCCAGGAUAAGAAAUUCCUCAGCAGCCUCCUGAUGUAAUGUGGAUUCAGCAGCUGUAGGUAAAUCUUAAACUAACGUCACUAUAGUGAAUAAAGUCAAAAUCAUUAUUGCUUGCUGAAAUCUUAGAAACACUUUGUGUUAAAAAAAUAAGCUAACAAUAACAACUUAGGCAUUCCUUCUUAACUCACUGUAUGAAGAUUAUGAAUAAAGGAUCAUAUUGAAUUUAAUUGUGAUUAGAGUCUAUAUGUGUAGAGCAUAUUAAGUAGUUUUUCAUCUAUAGGACUUUCUCUUGCUCAAAGUGGGCUGUUUUUUAAAGGUGGUUUUUCACUAUAUUAAGCACAGUUUUUCAACAAAGAAUUCAACUGUUUGUGUUUAUUGGCUUUUGCUUCUGCAAUCAUUGUUCCUAACUGUACAACUUAUUCCAAAAAUGAAAAGUUUUUCUAAAUGUUUUAUAUGUAGAAUUAGCUUACAUUCUAUUAGAACAUUAAAAUUCAGAGGGAACGGUAAUAUUAACACCUGGGAUAUAACAAAAGGGAUGUGUUAUGAAUCACUAGGUUAAAAAGAAACUGCUUCAAUAUCCACCUUAAAGGAAUUUGGUGUAGGGAAGUGCCCCACAAUAAAUAUUUCAUAACUAUAAGAUUUAAGACCAUAGCUAGUAGGUUAGAUUAAGUGGAUUUAUUGAGUUUAUAUGUAAUUUUUUGCUACGUAACAUUUUCCCCAAUCAUUUCAUUUUAAUAUUCCGUUAUUGAUUGAGGUGAAAGUACAUAUAUAAUUGUAUUAUUUUACCUUUCUGUCAGGGUCAUGGGUCUUAACUGGUUGCUUGGAUGUCUGUUGCUAUUUUUUGUUAUACCUGGGAUCUGAGUACCCCUUUUAACUUAAAAAUUUUGCACAUAAAGUAUGAAAUAAUUUGAUUCUUUGUUCUGCUUGAUCAUAUUCUUAAGUAGCACCAAGGAAAGAUGCUAUAUUUUCCCAGCGUCUAAGAUUAAUAGUCUUUAACUCAGAAGGAGAUAUGAAGAAAUGAUUCUAAAUAGGGCCUAGCUGGACAGUUGGAAAGGAAGAUUGUGAAACAACGAAGUAAGAGGAAGAAGACUGUAAAGGGGUAGAGAGUUAGCCAUUUGUAUGGUACCACUGAGUUUGUCCCUGUUAGGGAAGUACUGUAUGUAUGGCAAUUGGUGCUACUGUUUCCUGUAUCCAGCAGGAAAACUUGCAGGCUACACAUAGAAUAUGUGAAUAAGGAGAUACAUGGAGCAGCAGGAACAAAGACUAAAAAUACCUGUGAUGAGAGUUCAUAUUUUCUUUUUCUUUGUCUCUUCACACAGAAGCAAAUUUGAACAGAGAGGGUCAUCAAUUACAGUGCUUAGAUUAAAGACUGGGUUCUCUGUCAUAUUCCAUGGUUGGUAAACUUUAGUCGUCCAAAAUGAGCAUUAACCUAUUUAGUAUACUGCAAUGGAUACUGAAAUCUUCUGAUUGACAAGUAUGUAUCUGUAGCUAUAAUUUCUUCAACUGCAAUCCCAGAAAUUUACGAAGGUAAGGGAUUUGCUUUUUGAUAGAGACUUCUUUUCAAUGGUUAUAUAACAUUACUCUUUGGCUGUUUUUAUGUGAAUGCUCAGGGAAUUUGAAAGAGUAUUUGAUUUAGUGCAAAAGUAGCCUUUUUACGUAAAUUACCAUUAGGAUAUACUGGGUAGAGCAGGCCAGUUUCCUAUCAGUUGAAGAAAUUAGAGAUCCUUUACACCAUUCUGUUUUGUUUUCAUUCUUUUUUUUUCCCCAUUCUAUAUCAAUAUGUGAGAAAUGAAUCCCAAAACAAAUUUGAGAGGGAUGACCUAGAGGAAUUAUUUGACCUACCAGUUAUUUUGUUAAAGAACUUACCUUGUCGUGGAGAAUAUGAAUUCUAUGGUUUGUGUUGCUGGGAGGAUGAGUCAAGAACCUAGACUUGGAUGGGAAGGCCAACUGGUGAGGAAAGUGGGGGAGGAGGGGUUAUCUACUAAGUGUUUCUAAACUAGUUCAGAAGAAUUAACCUGGGGAGCCCUUCACUUCCCUUCCCCUUCUCCAGAUUCUGAAUGAAUUCGAUCAGUGAUGAGGCCCAAUAAUGUAACUUUCCUUCUAAGUUCUAAAUGAUAGUGUGUUUGAACAGUAUAGAGUUUGAAUAGAACAGUUAGUCUGUUGUAGCCUCAUAUAUAAUAGAUCUUCUACUUAAUUUCUCAGGUUUUGAGAACUAAAUAAAAAAUGCUAUGGAGAGUUCACAUAAAGCCCUUAACAAAUCAAGCACCAGAAAAAAAAUCAGGAAUUUAGUGCUUUCAAAUGAAUAAAGAAUGAUAUUAAGCUUUUUACUUCAGAUAGCUGUCUGAUUUAAGACAUUCCAAAAGAGGUGAAACAUUUGCAUUUUGAGAUUUUUAUGCAUUUGCACAUUCAUUUUGGCUAAGGAAGAACUUGGAAAAUAACGUUGAAAUUAUCAGCUACCCCACUGCAUUUUUUGUAUAUAGACUUCCUGAAGUUUUAUAUCCCUUAAACAAUUGCUUAAUUGUUUAUUUACAUAAACCUAGCUAAUAAAUAUUGGUGGUGUUUAGGGCCCUUGACUGCACAGCCCUUGGGGUACCAUCCAUAUAGAACACAAUUCAGAAUUUGUUAGAUACUAUCGCACUUUGAUAUAUUUCAAAAAUGUUUUUGUUACCACAGGUUCACAUGCUGUCAUUUAAACAAAAUUAAUGUACUGUGGUCAUUUUUACUGCUAUUCAGAUGAGGAUGCCUAGCCUGGAACUGUCAUUUUACAGUGUGAGAAAUUCAAUUCUGAUGACAUGUGCAAGAUGAUGAUGUGGUGCCUGUAAGAAAUACUAGGGUUGGUCAUGAUUUACUAAGGAGAUUUAUAUUUUAUUUCCCUUUGAUCUGUUAGGAAUAUAACUUGUGUCCUGGUUUGUUGCAUAUCACAUUUUUGCAACGUUAAUGAAUUUAAAUAAAUUAGUUGGAAACUU
Choloepus didactylus (southern two-toed sloth) is the source of this 4344-nucleotide RNA transcript. It is a transcript of the gene named BCL2 interacting protein 2, with no coding region annotated. The transcript is spliced from 12 exons. The record is from RefSeq and is a predicted model, not a curated record. Lineage: Eukaryota; Metazoa; Chordata; Mammalia; Pilosa; Megalonychidae.